This 269-nucleotide non-coding RNA is filed under the name Pseudogymnoascus sp. 23342-1-I1. Lineage: Eukaryota; Fungi; Ascomycota; Leotiomycetes; Thelebolales; Thelebolaceae. The record is from Rfam by way of RNAcentral.
GUUUAAAGGGUACCUAAAUAGUAUUAUUAGCCUAAAAAAGGGUAUAAUUAUACUAGAGUUUUAUAAGAGAAAGAAGUAUUUAUAGUAGAGAGUUUAUAUUUAAUUAUACCUUAGAGACUAGUAAAGGCAAAAUCAACCUUCUAUCUAAUAACUAAUGUUAAGGUAUAAAGGCCUAGGUAGUAAAUAGGAUUAGAUACCCUAGUAGUCUAAGUAGAGAAUUAUAAAUGCUAUAUAAUUUUAGCAUAUAAAUACAAGUAUAAGCAUUUUAC